This 1559-nucleotide long non-coding RNA is filed under the name Gossypium barbadense (sea-island cotton). Its description in RNAcentral is "long non-coding RNA (GBAR_LNC009784)". Lineage: Eukaryota; Viridiplantae; Streptophyta; Magnoliopsida; Malvales; Malvaceae. The record is from RNAcentral.
UUCACUUGACCAUUUCAACACCAACCAUCAAAGCAUUAAAAUGUCAAAAGUUCAUCAACCAUAAUACCACAUUUACAAGCCAAACAUAAUGACAAUCUCAUCAAACACAAUUCACCUAUACAUGUCAUUAUAACCAUGACUCAAAACAUAAAAAAUUACCGAUAUAGUCGUUGGAUAGUGUGAUAGGUCUCCAACGAGCUUCCAAACCGAUCGAGCUUCCGAUAAUCUAUAAAACAUAGAAAAGAAACACAAUGUAAGCAUAUAAUGCUCAGUAAGUUCGUAAAUCAUAAACAAUGCUUACCAUUUCAAUGCAUAAGCUUAAAAAUAAACAUGAAUCAAUCUAACACAAGCUUGGCACAAGCCUAAACAUCACCAACAACACAAGUUAGUACUUAAUCACAUAACUUAGCAAAAUUCAUCACAUGGUAAGGUUAAUUUCAUAAUCAUAAUACAUAUGAAUUCAUACCUUUCAUAACAUGGCUAUACAUACUUUGAUAUCCAAUACUUCAUACCUUCCCAUAAUUUCAUAAUGAAAUCAAUCGGAACCCUUACCAGUUCAUCCCUUUACAUGCCCGUUGAACCACUUAUAAUAAUAUCAGAUACACGGGAAGCUCACACAAAGUGUGCUAACAUAUGGUCGAAAUCAUUCUUUUCGUUUUCCUUUACGUAAAUGCUCAUACGAGCCAUAUAUGAGCCUACUCACACAAGCUAACGAGUAUCCACAACAAAUGCUCAAACUAAACCAUCGGUAGGACAUUCAGGACCAGCACCUGAAACAUGGUAACCCUAAUGAUCAUGUCAUUUGUAUCAUAUAUAUUCCUAAGGUUCAAAAGGGCUCGAUAGUCGCUGUAACAUUGUUGGAUUUUCCAUCGUGACAUGAUAUGAUAAAUAAAAUAAUAACAUUUAAAAUAAAUACAUUAAAAUGCUAUUUAAACGUACAAACUUACCUCUAUCACAAAAACGAUGAAAUAAGAUCGACUAGUCCAACACUUUAUCUUUCCCUCGAUCUAAAUCCGUACGAGGCUUAAUUUGAUAUAAAUAAGUAAAUUCAAUCCAUUCAACAACUAUUCUAUUCAAUUUAGUCCAAAAUACAUACUUCUACAAAUUUACACUUUUACCCCUAAUAUUUUAACUUCUUUACAAAUUAGUCUUUAAGCCCGUAAAUUGAAAUUCAUGUAAUUUAAUCCACGAACUAAACUAGCUGAAUUCUUUAUAAAGUCAUAGCAAGUCAUACAACUCAUUAUUUCACAAUUUCAUCAUGUAAUUUACACAUUUUACUAAUAAAUCCCUAUUUGACAUUUUCAACAAAAUUAACUUUACAAAAAUUGUUUAUUUAACAACAAAGAUUCAUUUUCUUCCAUCAAACAUCAAGAAUCAUAUGCACACAUUCAUGGAAAAACCCUAACUUUUCUACAGUUUUGCAAAUUAGCCCCUAGGCUAGCUAGAUUAAGCUACAACUACUUCAAAAACAUAAAAAUCAUUAAAAACGGGCUUGAAAACCUACCUUGCAUGAAGAAUUUACCCUAGCCGAAUGUUAAGCCUUCAGAAUGGAGUUUUUC